CCUACGGGAGGCAGCAGUGGGGAAUUUUCCGCAAUGGGCGAAAGCCUGACGGAGCAAUACCGCGUGAGGGAAGAAAGCCUACUGGGUUGUAAACCUCUUUUUUCAGGGAGGAAAAAAAUGACGUGUACCUGAAGAAUAAGCAUCGGCUAACUCCGUGCCAGCAGCCGCGGUAAGACGGAGGAUGCAAGUGUUAUCCGGAAUUACUGGGCGUAAAGCGUCUGUAGGUGGUUUAAUAAGUCAACUGUUAAAUCUUGAGGCUUAACUUCAAAACAGCAGUCGA
Molecule: ribosomal RNA, 280 nt
Filed under: Aulacoseira granulata
Lineage: Eukaryota; Bacillariophyta; Melosirophyceae; Melosirales; Aulacoseiraceae
Description: partial small subunit ribosomal RNA
Rfam family: Bacterial small subunit ribosomal RNA
Source: RNAcentral